This 254-nucleotide ribosomal RNA is filed under the name uncultured bacterium. RNAcentral describes it as "partial 16S ribosomal RNA". It matches the Rfam family "Bacterial small subunit ribosomal RNA", at positions 524 to 776 of the family's 1533-position model. The record is from RNAcentral.
UACGAAGGGGGCUAGCGUUGCUCGGAAUCACUGGGCGUAAAGCGCACGUAGGCGGAUUGUUAAGUCAGGGGUGAAAUCCUGGAGCUCAACUCCAGAACUGCCUUUGAUACUGGCGAUCUUGAGUCCGGGAGAGGUGAGUGGAACUCCGAGUGUAGAGGUGAAAUUCGUAGAUAUUCGGAAGAACACCAGUGGCGAAGGCGGCUCACUGGCCCGGUACUGACGCUGAGGUGCGAAAAGCGUGGGGAGCAAACAGG